This 69-nucleotide transfer RNA is filed under the name Hyporhamphus unifasciatus (common halfbeak). RNAcentral describes it as "tRNA-His". It matches the Rfam family "tRNA". From Rfam's summary of the family: Transfer RNA (tRNA) molecules are approximately 80 nucleotides in length. Their secondary structure includes four short double-helical elements and three loops (D, anti-codon, and T loops). Further hydrogen bonds mediate the characteristic L-shaped molecular structure. tRNAs have two regions of fundamental functional importance: the anti-codon, which is responsible for specific mRNA codon recognition, and the 3' end, to which the tRNAs corresponding amino acid is attached (by aminoacyl-tRNA synthetases). tRNAs cope with the degeneracy of the genetic code in two manners: having more than one tRNA (with a specific anti-codon) for a particular amino acid; and 'wobble' base-pairing, i.e. permitting non-standard base-pairing at the 3rd anti-codon position. RNAcentral also lists the same sequence under 1 other name. Lineage: Eukaryota; Metazoa; Chordata; Actinopteri; Beloniformes; Hemiramphidae. The record is from RNAcentral.
GUAGAUAUAGUUUAAUGAAAACGUUAGAUUGUGAUUCUAAAAAUAGAGGUUGAACCCCUCUUAUUCACC